AGGAAGUGUGCCUGAAAGACCAAGGACUACUUUGAUAGAGUAUACCAUGGGGGUUAAAAUCCCCCCACUUCCUU
This 74-nucleotide transfer RNA is filed under the name Heterotis niloticus (African bonytongue). RNAcentral's name for it is "tRNA-Ile". It matches the Rfam family "tRNA". Rfam says of the family: Transfer RNA (tRNA) molecules are approximately 80 nucleotides in length. Their secondary structure includes four short double-helical elements and three loops (D, anti-codon, and T loops). The record is from RNAcentral. Lineage: Eukaryota; Metazoa; Chordata; Actinopteri; Osteoglossiformes; Osteoglossidae.